This is a non-coding RNA of Pelobates cultripes (western spadefoot toad), 237 nucleotides long. Lineage: Eukaryota; Metazoa; Chordata; Amphibia; Anura; Pelobatidae. The record is from the annotation of a GenBank genome assembly.
GGCGAUAAUGACUCGGUGCUGGGUGAUCAUCUUGUUGGAAAUCAUCUGUAUCUUAACUAUCAGGGGAAGGGUGAGCAUAGUUGCGGGGUGGGGGGUGAGUAUUAGAUUGAGAGGGUUGGUAGACAUCUUGGGCAUAUUCCUGAGGAGGGUAAUACGAUGCAUGUGCCUGAGGAUAUACCUGAGGAGGUUAACCUGGUUGGAGACCACCAAACGUGGCCGCAGGGGCAUUGGGGUACA